GGAAACAAAGGGGGCCUAAUUGCAGCCUACUUGUGUCCCAAAAGCCCAAAAAGAAAGACCCUCCUCCAUAGACACGAGCCAAAGACAAGCAAGCAACCAGACAGGGCAUCGAUCACCAGAAGAACCCAUGCAUGGUAGCAGAAAAGCUGACGCUAAAAAGAAACCCUUUUACCGCCUUGAUAAUGAUUGAAACAGUGUUAUGGAAUUUAGGGUUCUAGGUUUUGGAAUUGGAAUUGGUACUUGGGAGGAAGGUGUUUAUAUGAUCUGGACUUAGCUUCAGACUUCAUAUUUCAAUUAGUAUUUGGAUUUGGUAAUUUUAAGCAACUUUUGGGAAGUGAAAAUAUGUCAUCUAAUCAAAGCUAUACUCGAAUUAAUACUUUAGAGCUCAAAACUUUGAUUAUUAAAAAGAUUGGGCACAAAAGAGCAGAUAAGUACUUUGAUCAGCUGACAAGCUUGUUUAGUUUUAAGAUAACCAAGUGUGAAUUUGAUAAGUUUUGCAUUAAGAUUAUUGGUAGAGAAAAUAUCCCUCUUCACAACCACCUUAUUCGAUCAAUCAUCAAGAAUGCUUGCCUUGCUAAAGUUCCCCCAUUGAAAGGUAUUAAAAGAGUGGGAAGUAGACUUAACCUUAAAACUACAAACGGGUACCAGAGAAAUUGUCUUCAGUCUCUUUAUGGGGAUGCCUUUCCACCUUCCCCAAGGAAGAGUAGGUCUCCUGUUAAUCGAGAUCGCAAGUUCAGGGACCGCCCAAGUCCUCUGGGGCCACUUGGGAAGCCCCAAAUGAUUUCUGAGGAAUUGAAUUCAACAGGACAAGAACAGCAAAGUGCUACAGAACUGCUUUCACUUGGUAGCAGACCUCCAGUUGAAGUUGCUUCUGUGGAAGAGGGAGAAGAGGUUGAGCAGGUGGCAGGGAGCCCAGGUGUUCAAAGUAGAAGCCCAGUUACUGCUCCUCUUGGUGUUUCCAUGAAUUUAGGUGAAGCUCGUAAAAUUCUCUCAAAUGUUUGUGGUAGCCACCUUCGAGUGACUUGUCUACACACUAGUGAGCUGCCUGAUACAAGAUCAUUAAGAAGUCGGUUAGAGCAGAAGUUGGAGGUGGAGGGUCUUAGUGUGUCGAUGGACUCUGUUAAUUUGUUGAAUAAUGGGUUGGACAUAUAUUUGAAGAGGUUGAUCGAGCCAUGCCUGGGCUUAGCAAACUCACAGUGUAGAAAUGAUCACUUGAAAGAGGUUAAUGGCCAAUUCACACCUAGUUUGAAUGUGUUGCAACCUGGGAGAUGCAUCCAAAGAUUGACAGAAUCUGUUUGUGCAUCCAUGUUGGAUUUCCAUGUUGCAAUGGAGACAAAUCCCCAAAUACUUGGGGGAGAUUGGGCCACAUUACUUGAGAAAAUCUCAUUCCGCACUUCUGAAGAGUGAUAAAUAUCUCAUUGUAAUUGCUCGGAAUUCACCAGUUGAUUAAGUGGGAUUUCAGUUCAUCUUCACAUUAACUUGAUGAUUCAGAUUUUGAAUCAAUGAUUUUGCUAUUCACUCAUUACAGGGUGUUACAAGCAUUUCCAAAAGGAAUAAGCUGUAGAAAUUUUAGAUCAGAUGACAAGGUAGUCUUUAAAAGCCUGAAGUGAUGAUUGUCGACAGUAUACAUGUUUAUACAGUUAAUUGUAAAAAUAGAUACAGUUCUUUGCAGGUAUCUCCUUGACAGAGUACUUGGCUUCUCUUAUCCUUGGUAAUAAAAUUCAGACCAGAUAGUGACUCCAAGUGGAACAUAUUCUCUCUUAGAUAUCCUGGAUUCAGAGAAAUUCCUAUCGCUUUCUUCCAUCGGCUUUAUAGAUAAUAGUAUUAAAGAGUAACUGUUGGUGCGGCCUGGGAUCCUUGUAGUUAAAUUCACUUCACAAAGUCUUUUCUUUUUUUUUUUUUCUUUCAUCCUGGUGAUUUGUAGGAUUCUGAAAUUUAAGCUAUUAAUAAAUUGCAGUUGCAUAUGCA
RNA transcript from Manihot esculenta (cassava), 1968 nucleotides. RefSeq lists it as uncharacterized. The transcript is spliced from 4 exons. The record is from RefSeq and is a predicted model, not a curated record. Lineage: Eukaryota; Viridiplantae; Streptophyta; Magnoliopsida; Malpighiales; Euphorbiaceae.